Molecule: non-coding RNA, 876 nt
Organism: Camellia sinensis
Lineage: Eukaryota; Viridiplantae; Streptophyta; Magnoliopsida; Ericales; Theaceae
Source: RefSeq, a predicted model, not a curated record
UAAAAGUUAUAUUAUGUGGCUUUUUUACUUGCUUUGAGGUUAUGUAAAUAUUAACAUGCCAUUUGCUAAGUAGACACACCUGUUCUUGCACAGGCUUGGGAGAAAGUAUAUGGGGUGAACAUUACCAAUGCUGUCAAUAUGGUACAAACUUAUUUAUGAAAAAAAAUAUUAAUAAAAUGUCAUUCCGAGUCAAGUCUGCUGCAUCAGAUGGUCAAUUAGGUAUCAUAUAUUACACUGCAAAACAGCAUCUGCUGUCUCUCCUAAAGUUUGUGCUGACUAAAAGGCAUUCUACUGGUGGUCUUUUAUUUCUUUGUAGUUGAGCUUGUUUGGUGGAUACUUUUGUGGCAUGAUGCUGUGUUGCGUUGAAUCUGGUGCUGAUUGGCUCUGUUCUGUGUGCUCUACCUCUGAUGCAGCUUUUGAUUGAUGCGAUCUGUUUGUCCUGAUUUCUGAUUUGGUUGAGUUGUUUUGUUGCUGGUUUUGUUUGAUUUGUUUUCUGACUGUUUUAGUAAAUGAGUUUGCUGAUCUGCUAUUCUUCUGGUGCUGCUGUUGCUGAGAUGCUGUGGUGAUGCUGCUGUGAUGGUGUUUGUUACGAUAAGGUGCUGCUGUGUUGUUGUUGGAUGUUUGCUGGUGUUGCUGGUGUUUGGAAGGGUGCAUGACUUUUUGUCCAAUCUGUAAUAGAUCAGGUUUUCAUUAAUGGGGGUUGUCAUUAGGUGUAAGUUCGGGCAACUGCUGGUGUUUUGGCUAGAAGGGUAUGGAGGGGGUAUUUUGUGUGAUUUCAUAUCCAUGUUAUUAGUUUGUUAUAGUGGUGCCUGAGGGAUGCCUCUUGUAAAUCUGUAAAUUUUUUAAAAAAUUAUAAAUGAGUUUCAAUUAUUUUUG